This 505-nucleotide ribosomal RNA is filed under the name uncultured bacterium. Its description in RNAcentral is "partial 16S ribosomal RNA". It matches the Rfam family "Bacterial small subunit ribosomal RNA", at positions 28 to 507 of the family's 1533-position model. The record is from RNAcentral.
GACGAACGCUGGCGGCGUGCCUAAUACAUGCAAGUAGAACGCACAGUUUAUACCGUAGCUUGCUACACCAUAGACUGUGAGUUGCGGACGGGUGAGUAACGCGUAGGUAACCUGCCUGGUAGUGGGGGAUAACUAUUGGAAACGAUAGCUAAUACCGCAUAAUAUUGAUUAUUGCAUGAUAAUUGAUUGAAAGAUGCUAUUGCAUCACUACCAGAUGGACCUGCGUUGUAUUAGCUAGUAGGUGAGGUAACGGCUCACCUAGGCGACGAUACAUAGCCGACCUGAGAGGGUGAUCGGCCACACUGGGACUGAGACACGGCCCAGACUCCUACGGGAGGCAGCAGUAGGGAAUCGUCGGCAAUGGACGAAAGUCUGACCGAGCAACGCCGCGUGAGUGAAGAAGGUUUUCGGAUCGUAAAGCUCGGUUGUAAGAGAAGAACGGGUGUGAGAGUGGAAAGUUCACACUGUGACGGUAUCUUACCAGAAAGGGACGGCUAACUACGUG